Molecule: ribosomal RNA, 166 nt
Filed under: Myxotrichaceae sp.
Lineage: Eukaryota; Fungi; Ascomycota; Leotiomycetes; Myxotrichaceae
Description: partial large subunit ribosomal RNA
Rfam family: Eukaryotic large subunit ribosomal RNA
Source: RNAcentral
CGGCAACAGCUCAAAUUUGAAAUCUGGCCUCUUUUGGGGUCCGAGUUGUAAUUUGUAGAAGAUGCUUCGGGUGAGGCUCUGGUCUAAGUUCCUUGGAACAGGACGUCAUAGAGGGUGAGAAUCCCGUACGUGCCCGGUGGCCGCCCCCGUGUGAAGCUCCUUCGAC